Molecule: long non-coding RNA, 196 nt
Organism: Neodiprion virginianus
Lineage: Eukaryota; Metazoa; Arthropoda; Insecta; Hymenoptera; Diprionidae
Exons: 3
Source: RefSeq, a predicted model, not a curated record
AAGUAACAAUAGCCACAAUAAUAACACCGGCACACAAAAAAAAUUGAGUAGAAUGUGCAUUUGACCGGACCUACCUACGGGUACGUAUUUUGGUCCGCUGAAUCCGAAUUCGAGGUCAGUUUGACCCCUACACCCCCAAAAUUUCGAGAAAACUUCGAAAAACCGUAAAAAUGAUGAAAAUCGGCAGUUUUAAUGA